RNAcentral lists this transfer RNA (70 nucleotides) under Diporiphora magna. RNAcentral's name for it is "tRNA-Trp". It matches the Rfam family "tRNA". Rfam says of the family: Transfer RNA (tRNA) molecules are approximately 80 nucleotides in length. Their secondary structure includes four short double-helical elements and three loops (D, anti-codon, and T loops). Lineage: Eukaryota; Metazoa; Chordata; Lepidosauria; Squamata; Agamidae. The record is from RNAcentral.
UAGGAACUUAGGUUAAGCUUAAACCAAGGGCCUUCAAAGCCCUAAAUAAGAAACAUCUCUUAGUCCCUGC